CGGGGCUUAAAGUCUUGUAAUUGGAAUGAUGGGAAUUUAAACCUCUUCCAGAGUAUCAAUUGGAGGGCAAGUCUGGUGCCAGCAGCCGCGGUAAUUCCAGCUCCAAUAGCGUAUAUUAAAAUUGUUGCAGUUAAAAAGCUCGUAGUUGAAUUUCUGCUGCAUUGCUUGUGUCCCUCUGGGGUCUGUGCAUGUGGCUUUUUUCGGACGGAGUUUCUUUGUCUGAAUCUUUACUUUGAGAAAAUUAGAGUGCUCAAAGCAGGCUUUCGCCUUGAAUAGUUUAGCAUGGAAUAAUAAAGUAGGACUUUGGUUCUAUUUUGUUGGUUUUAGGUACCAAAGUAAUGGUUAAUAGGAACAGUUGGGGGCAUUCGUAUUUAACUGUCAGAGGUGAAAUUCUUAGAUUUGUUAAAGACGAACUACUGCGAAAGCAUUUGCCAAGGAUGUUUUCAUUAAUCAAGAAC
RNAcentral lists this ribosomal RNA (458 nucleotides) under Theileria annulata. RNAcentral's name for it is "SSU rRNA". It matches the Rfam family "Eukaryotic small subunit ribosomal RNA", at positions 486 to 984 of the family's 1831-position model. The record is from RNAcentral. Lineage: Eukaryota; Apicomplexa; Aconoidasida; Piroplasmida; Theileriidae.